RNAcentral lists this ribosomal RNA (532 nucleotides) under Phaffomyces usticensis. RNAcentral describes it as "partial 26S ribosomal RNA". It matches the Rfam family "Eukaryotic large subunit ribosomal RNA", at positions 84 to 662 of the family's 3401-position model. Lineage: Eukaryota; Fungi; Ascomycota; Saccharomycetes; Phaffomycetales; Phaffomycetaceae. The record is from RNAcentral.
UAACGGCGAGUGAAGCGGCAAGAGCUCAAAUUUGAAAUCGGUAUUUUAUAUCGAGUUGUAGUUUGAAGGGAGGACUCUGUGGAGUGGUGAGCAGCGAUGUUCCUUGGAAGAGGACGUGACACAAGGUGAUAAUCCUGUAGCUGUGAUCCGUGACACGUAUAGAGACCCCCCGAAGAGUCGAGUUGUUUGGGAAUGCAGCUCUAAGUGGGUGGUAAACUCCAUCUAAAGCUAAAUACUAGCGAGAGACCGAUAGCGAACAAGUACAGUGAUGGAAAGAUGAAAAGAACUUUGAAAAGAGAGUGAAAGAGUGCGUGAAAUUGUUGAAAGGGAAGGAUAUUAGGUGAGGCGGGGACGUGGGUUCUGUAAUGUUUCUUGUAAGUAUUAUUAUGCCCACGUCCAGGCCGGUGUGGGUGGGGAGCGGGCGAUGAAAGCUAUUCUUUGAACCUAGUUCUAGGAAUGGUCAACAGCCCUCCCCCCACCAUGGACAGACGACACCGACACAAUGACCUAACAUCGCGCCGACUUGAAACAC